RNAcentral lists this long non-coding RNA (2070 nucleotides) under Canis lupus familiaris (dog). RNAcentral's name for it is "lncRNA (ENSCAFG00000053253.1, ENSCAFG00845011902.1)". The record is from RNAcentral. Lineage: Eukaryota; Metazoa; Chordata; Mammalia; Carnivora; Canidae.
AUCCUAAAACGCCUGGAAGCCAAAGGGAAAAGUCCUAAUGGGACCUGGGUGUUCCCUGAGGGGUCCAAAGGGGAUCUCCUGGAGUCAGAGUGGCCAAGUUCCCUGAAGUUAAACAGUUGACACAGACAAAUAUCAACAGACACUCCCGGAAACAUGAAACCAACAGUCAACUAACCAACCGACGACAACAACAAAAAAACGGUCUUUUCAACAGAUGAAGAAUCUGAGCUUCAGGAAGAUUAAGUGACCUGCCUAAAAUCACAAAGCUUGUAAAAGGGCAGAAUUGGGAUAUUAAACAGAUUGAACCGGAUUCAUUAUUUCCUUAGUGCCCCACCUCUGAUCCAGCUUCCAUUCCCUUGCACCCUCCUGGCAUGGCACUGGCAUCCUUCCUGGCACCUGUGCAUUGUGGUGACACCAUUUGUGGGAUGUUGCAAAUGCACACCUAUCCAUCACAAUAUAGUCCACUGACUAAGGAGAGAUCUGGGGAAAUGUGUCCCAAUAUGUUUAAACUGCUUACAGCACUGUUGCUUUUAUCUUCUUUAUUCUUUUCAAAGUUUUUUUAUUAAUGUAUUUUAUUUCUUGAAUCAGAAGACUAUUUUCAUAAUAGGUAAGGUCCAUCUUUUGCUCCCAAAGGGUUCAGCCCAUUCAUUCUGCCUGAGGUGUCCACCGGUCUAGCAAACACCUGAGUGUCUUGUGAACCUCAGCUCAAGGACUGGAUCUCUGUGAUGUCUUUUCAAAUACUCUGCCCUCUUAGUACUCUAUUGUCUCCACCAUGGCACUUGUGAUGUUUAUCACACUUAUUUAUCUGUAUCCCCCACUGCGUCCCCAGAUCUGAACUGGGGCUCAAUCAGAUUCAUAAGUUUCUGCAGGACCUGGCAUAAGCUGUGGAUCCAUGUAACAGCUAAUGCUAAUUGAGCACUUACUAUGUUCUAGGUGCUUUACUAUGUGCUAAGCAUUUUGCCUAUAUUAAUUCUUUUUUUUAAGAUUUUAUUUAUUUACUAGAGAGAGAGAGAAGCAGAGACACAGGCAGAGGGAGAAGCAGGCUCCAUGCAGGUAGCCCGACGUGAGACUCUAUCCGGGGACUCCAGAUCAGGCCCUGGGCUGCAGGUGCCGCUAAACCGCUGAGCCACUGGGGUCGCCCUAUAUUAAUUCAUUUAAUCUCACAAUUGUCCCGUGAGGUGGGUUUACUAUUAUUUUCAUCCAUUUUACAGAUGAGGAAAUUUAUGCAGAGAUAACUUGCUUAGGUCAUGUAGCUAGUAAACAACCAGACCUGGGGCUUGUACCCAGGCUGUCUGACUUAAGUCUGUGACCUUAAACAUUAUGCCACAUUGAAAAGACACUUGGGAAAGUUUUGCUGAAUGAAAAAACCUGGAAUUUCUUCAAAGUGUCAUUCAAUCUGAAAAGUUCUUUGGCUGAUCUCAAAGGCAGGGAUUUAAAUCAAUAUCCCGGGCACCUGGGUGGCUCAGUGGUUGAGCACCUGCCUUUGGCUCAGGGCGUAAUCCCAGGGUUUCAGGAUCGAGUCCCACAUCAGGCUCCCUGGAGGGAGCCUGCUUCUCCCUCUGCCUGUGUCUCUGCCUCUCUUUGUGUCUCUCAUGAAUAAAUAAAUAAAAUCUUUAAUAAAUAAACAAAAUACCCCAGCCUGCCAUGUGGAUCUAGUGGUCACCUAGGCAGUUUACUCAGAAAAACCUGAACUUAAACCAUUGGUCUCACUGAGUUCACCUCUAUUCAUUCACUGGACCACAUGGGCCUCAAUCUAUAAGGAGACAAAGGGUGUGUGAAUGUGGAAGAGGGGUUGUGAUGGUCUGACUUUCCUGGCUCUAGGACUGCAGGAACAAUCCUGAAUUUCCCCCUGAUGGGUCUCCUCCCCCUGUCUAGAGUGGAUCUGAGACAGAGUGGGUCCUAGGAUCUCAACCGAGCAUGCAAUUUAGCUCUGAGUUUCCCAAGGCCCUAGGCAAACAGAGGAAAAAGAUUGGUGUGUAACACUCCACGUGAGCUAUCAUUAAGUCUGUGAACAGUUACUAAUCACCCAGGCUCUGCCAAUCACUGUGCCCACUCCCAAGAAAACAAAAA